GAUGAACGCUGGCGGCGUGCUUAACACAUGCAAGUCGAGCGAGAAGUUUUGAAAAGAUUCUUCGGAUGAAAUUUAAAAUGGAAAGCGGCGGACGGGUGAGUAACGCGUAGGCAACCUGCCCCAUACAAAGGGAUAGCAUUUGGAAACGAAUAUUAAUACCUUAUGAAACUUAACUAGUGCAUGCUAGGUAGGUCAAAGAUUUAUCGGUAUGGGAUGGGCCUGCGUCUGAUUAGCUAGUUGGUGAGGUAACGGCUCACCAAGGCGACGAUCAGUAGCCGACCUGAGAGGGUGAACGGCCACAUUGGAACUGAGACACGGUCCAAACUCCUACGGGAGGCAGCAGUGGGGAAUAUUGCACAAUGGGGGAAACCCUGAUGCAGCAACGACGCGUGAACGAUGAAGGCCUUUGGGUCGUAAAGCUCUGUUCUAGGUGAUGAAAACUGACAGUAACCUAGGAGAAAGCCCCGGCUAACUCCGUG
Molecule: ribosomal RNA, 479 nt
Filed under: uncultured bacterium
Lineage: Bacteria
Description: partial 16S ribosomal RNA
Rfam family: Bacterial small subunit ribosomal RNA
Source: RNAcentral